This 326-nucleotide ribosomal RNA is filed under the name uncultured eukaryote. Its description in RNAcentral is "partial 18S ribosomal RNA". It matches the Rfam family "Eukaryotic small subunit ribosomal RNA", at positions 1470 to 1796 of the family's 1831-position model. The record is from RNAcentral.
CCCUUAGAUGUCCUGGGCCGCACGCGCGCUACACUGAACGGAUCAGCGCGUUUUCCCUUCCCGAGAGGGACGGGUAACCUGCUGAACCCCGUUCGUGGUAGGGAUCGGGGCUUGCAAUUAUUCCCCGUGAACCAGGAAUGCCCAGUAAGUGCAAGUCAUAAGCUUGCGUUGAUUACGUCCCUGCCCUUUGCACACACCGCCCGUCGCUACUACCGAUUGAACGUUUUAGUGAGGUACUCGGACUGAGCCUCAGAAGAUUCACGUCUUUUGUGCUGCUCGGGAAGAUUCCCAAACUUGAGCGUUUAGAGGAAGUAAAAGUCGUAACA